CGCCCGACAAGUAAGUUGUCGCAGGUAGCAAACAGUCUGAUGGAUCCAUGACUCUGGGAACCUUUGUAACCCUAUAUCAUACCAAGUGAGAACCUAUUCUUGGAAAAUAAUCAGAUUCAUCAGUACCUUAGACUUUUGAACCCGUGUAUUGAAAAAAAAAUAUACAUGGCUUACAUUGCAUUCAUUCAUAUUCCAUUGCAUCU
Molecule: long non-coding RNA, 203 nt
Filed under: Lathyrus oleraceus (garden pea)
Lineage: Eukaryota; Viridiplantae; Streptophyta; Magnoliopsida; Fabales; Fabaceae
Description: Pisum sativum (pea) long non-coding RNA (PSAT_LNC038320)
Source: RNAcentral